RNAcentral lists this long non-coding RNA (1271 nucleotides) under Heterocephalus glaber (naked mole-rat). Its description in RNAcentral is "lncRNA (ENSHGLG00000034064.1)". The record is from RNAcentral. Lineage: Eukaryota; Metazoa; Chordata; Mammalia; Rodentia; Bathyergidae.
ACCCCCAGAGGACCUCACUCCCGGAGGCCCGAACUGCUGAGUUCCCACCCAACCGAACGGACACAGAAAGAAUCUGCCCGGCCCGGCCCCGCCCCCGGCCCCUGGAUUCCUCUGGGGGCUGGGCGGGAGGCUGCGGCCGAAAGGCGAAAGAGAGGCUCUUGGCCGCCUCUCCCCUCCUCGCCGUGCUCAGCCAGGUUGUAGAGUACUUGUGGAUUGUGGGACGUCCAGGCUGGUCCGGGUUAAGGCCGUAAGGGGUGCCCCCAGCCAGGGACUUUUAACCCUGUCUUCGUCCCUCUUAAGUCCUCCAAGUGAGACGGUCCUCGGGGCUCUGCUGAUUGCUGAGGUUCCGAGAUGCAGGGGUUUGGUUGGGCCUGGCAGAUAGCAGCUCCUGUUGCAAGAGCUCCUCGCACCCCUUUCCUGUAUCUGUCAGCUAACGGGGUUAGCCAGUUCCUUCACUGGUGAACGUCAGCGCCUGCUUACCCAGACCGCGGUGGUCAGUCGCUAAGGGUGGCCUGUUGAUGGCACUGAGAGAUGCUAUAAACACCAGGUGUGUGAGGCCGCUCCGGUAUAAUGUCGCAUAGUGUUUUACAAACAAAUUUAACACUGGCCAGAACAAGAGCUCUAAGAAGCUGGGAAGAUGGGCCCCAGAGUACAGGGGAGAACAAUUCUGCAGACACAAGAGAACCCUGGGACCUGGGUGUGGUGGUGCACACCUGUCAUCCUAGCUACUUGGACAGCUGAGGCAGGAGGAUCACAAGUUUGAGCCCAGCUUGAGCAACUUAGUGAGACCCUGUCUCAAAAAAUGCAAAAGGGCUAGGAUGUAGCUCAGGGCUAGAGUGGUUGUCUGGCAUGUACAAGGCCUUGACUUUAAUCCUCAGUACUGAAAGAAAAAAAAAAAAAAAGAGCUCUACAGGAAGUUUAAAACCAUCAAGAUACAUAAAAGUAUAACUUUAUUGUUAUCUGCAUUCGCCCUACUGUGCAAUAAUAGCAUCCCAGAACUUCUUACUACUAUCCACCUGUAACUUAGUCCUCCAGGAUUUAUCUCACCUAUAAACAUUUUGAGAAGACCAAACAAAUACACAUGCAAUAUCAUCCAAAGGCAAUUGCAUAUUUUGUUUGGUUUUUUUUUUUAUUUUGGUACUGGGAAUCGAACUCAGGACCUUAUGCUUGUGAGGCAGGCGGCGGAACCACUGAGCUAAAUCCCCGGCCCGGCAAUUGCAUAUUUUAUUACUCUAUUGCAUAUCAAAAAAAUAAAGACAAAUUAAAAUUAC